RNAcentral lists this ribosomal RNA (936 nucleotides) under Neodidymelliopsis sambuci. Its description in RNAcentral is "partial large subunit ribosomal RNA". It matches the Rfam family "Eukaryotic large subunit ribosomal RNA", at positions 24 to 977 of the family's 3401-position model. The record is from RNAcentral. Lineage: Eukaryota; Fungi; Ascomycota; Dothideomycetes; Pleosporales; Didymellaceae.
CCCGCUGAAACUUAAGCAUAUCAAUAAGCGGAGGAAAAGAAACCAACAGGGAUUGCCCUAGUAACGGCGAGUGAAGCGGCAACAGCUCAAAUUUGAAAUCUGGCGUCUUUGGCGUCCGAGUUGUAAUUUGCAGAGGGCGCUUUGGCAUCGGCAGCGGUCCAAGUUCCUUGGAACAGGACGUCACAGAGGGUGAGAAUCCCGUACGUGAUCGCUAGCCUUUACCGUGUAAAGCCCCUUCGACGAGUCGAGUUGUUUGGGAAUGCAGCUCUAAAUGGGAGGUAAAUUUCUUCUAAAGCUAAAUACUGGCCAGAGACCGAUAGCGCACAAGUAGAGUGAUCGAAAGAUGAAAAGCACUUUGGAAAGAGAGUUAAAAAGCACGUGAAAUUGUUGAAAGGGAAGCGCUUGCAGCCAGACUUGCCUGUAGUUGCUCAUCCGGGUUUCUACCCGGUGCACUCUUCUAUAGGCAGGCCAGCAUCAGUUUGGGCGGUUGGAUAAAGGUCUCUGUCAUGUACCUCUCUUCGGGGAGAACUUAUAGGGGAGACGACAUGCAACCAGCCUGGACUGAGGUCCGCGCAUCUGCUAGGAUGCUGGCGUAAUGGCUGUAAGCGGCCCGUCUUGAAACACGGACCAAGGAGUCUAACAUCUAUGCGAGUGUUUGGGUGUCAAGCCCGAACGCGUAAUGAAAGUGAACGGAGGUGGGAACCUUUCGGGGUGCACCAUCGACCGAUCCUGAUGUCUUCGGAUGGAUUUGAGUAAGAGCAUAGCUGUUGGGACCCGAAAGAUGGUGAACUAUGCUUGAAUAGGGUGAAGCCAGAGGAAACUCUGGUGGAGGCUCGCAGCGGUUCUGACGUGCAAAUCGAUCGUCAAAUUUGGGCAUAGGGGCGAAAGACUAAUCGAACUAUCUAGUAGCUGGUUCCUGCCGAAGUUCCCCUCAGG